AGAGUUUGAUCAUGGCUCAGAUUGAACGCUGGCGGCAGGCUUAACACAUGCAAGUCGAGCGGUAACAGAAAUAGCUUGCUAUUUGCUGACGAGCGGCGGACGGGUGAGUAAUGCUUGGGAAUAUGCCUUAUGGUGGGGGACAACAGUUAGAAACGACUGCUAAUACCGCAUAAUGUCUUCGGACCAAAGGGGGGGAUCUUCGGACCCCUCGCCAUUUGAUAGCCCAAGUGAGAUUAGCUAGUUGGUAAGGUAAUGGCUUACCAAGGCGACGAUCUCUAGCUGGUUUGAGAGGAUGAUCAGCCACACUGGGACUGAGACACGGCCCAGACUCCUACGGGAGGCAGCAGUGGGGAAUAUUGCACAAUGGGGGAAACCCUGAUGCAGCCAUGCCGCGUGUGUGAAGAAGGCCUUCGGGUUGUAAAGCACUUUCAGUUGUGAGGAAAGGUGUGUAGUUAAUAGCUGCAUACUGUGACGUUAACAACAGAAGAAGCACCGGCUAACUUCGUGCCAGCAGCCGCGGUAAUACGAGGGGUGCAAGCGUUAAUCGGAAUUACUGGGCGUAAAGCGUUCGUAGGCGGUUGAACAAGCAAGAUGUGAAAGCCCAGGGCUCAACCUUGGAACUGCAUUUUGAACUGUUCGACUAGAGUACUGUAGAGGGGGGUAGAAUUUCA
Molecule: ribosomal RNA, 671 nt
Filed under: uncultured Vibrionaceae bacterium
Lineage: Bacteria; Pseudomonadati; Pseudomonadota; Gammaproteobacteria; Vibrionales; Vibrionaceae
Description: bacterial SSU rRNA
Rfam family: Bacterial small subunit ribosomal RNA
Source: RNAcentral